This 486-nucleotide ribosomal RNA is filed under the name Shigella boydii. RNAcentral's name for it is "bacterial SSU rRNA". It matches the Rfam family "Bacterial small subunit ribosomal RNA", at positions 1 to 477 of the family's 1533-position model. The record is from RNAcentral. Lineage: Bacteria; Pseudomonadati; Pseudomonadota; Gammaproteobacteria; Enterobacterales; Enterobacteriaceae.
AAAUUGAAGAGUUUGAUCAUGGCUCAGAUUGAACGCUGGCGGCAGGCCUAACACAUGCAAGUCGAACGGUAACAGGAAGCAGCUUGCUGCUUCGCUGACGAGUGGCGGACGGGUGAGUAAUGUCUGGGAAACUGCCUGAUGGAGGGGGAUAACUACUGGAAACGGUAGCUAAUACCGCAUAAUGUCGCAAGACCAAAGAGGGGGACCUCGGGCCUCUUGCCAUCGGAUGUGCCCAGAUGGGAUUAGCUUGUUGGUGGGGUAACGGCUCACCAAGGCGACGAUCCCUAGCUGGUCUGAGAGGAUGACCAGCCACACUGGAACUGAGACACGGUCCAGACUCCUACGGGAGGCAGCAGUGGGGAAUAUUGCACAAUGGGCGCAAGCCUGAUGCAGCCAUGCCGCGUGUAUGAAGAAGGCCUUCGGGUUGUAAAGUACUUUCAGCGGGGAGGAAGGGAGUAAAGUUAAUACCUUUGCUCAUUGACGUUA